RNAcentral lists this ribosomal RNA (2669 nucleotides) under Rapaza viridis. RNAcentral describes it as "partial small subunit ribosomal RNA". It matches the Rfam family "Eukaryotic small subunit ribosomal RNA". Lineage: Eukaryota; Euglenozoa; Euglenophyceae; Rapazida; Rapazidae. The record is from RNAcentral.
UGCGCUACCUGGUUGAUCCUGCCAGUAGUCGUAUGCUUCUUUCAAGGGCUAAGCCAUGCAAGUCUCAGAGUACGCGGAUUAUACACAGCGGAUCUGCCAACGGCUCAUUAUAUCAGCGAUAGUCUACGUAGUGACGCAUAUGGGGUGCUCGGGUGUUGGCAACAACUCCUCCCGCACGCCCCGCCAGCCGGAUACCCUUCCCAACUGGAUGGCUAAUACGUGUAAGCAUAACCCUUCCUCGCUCAAGGGCACCACCUAGCUUGCUAGGUGGGGUUCUGAGGCGGGGUGCAUUGAGCCGCCACGAAGACUGGCACCUGCGAUGGGUAGAGGUGUUUAUGGGUGAUCCAGGCUCAAGCGGGUGGUGAUAGCGGAGUGGCCUUCUCGUGCUGCCGCGGCACUACACGGACUCCUGACCUAUCAGCUGUCGAUUGUGGCAGCGAGUACUGCGAUGGCGAUCACGGGUAACGGGGAAUUAGGGUUCGAUUCCGGAGAGGGAGCCUGAGAAACGGCUACCACGGCUACGGCCGGCAGCAGGCGCGCAAAUUGCCCAAUACCAACACCUAGGUGAGGCAGCGACGAGCAGUAGCAACUCCGCCCGUCCAUGUGAUGGGCGAGGUUCGCAAUGGAUGUCUAAUGUAAACAAACCAAUGAGUAACAACUGGAGGGCAAGUCUGGUUAAAUGGCAGCCAGAUGUUAGAGCUUGCGAUGCUGAUGCAUAGCGUUGCGGAUCCAAGCUUCUAGCAGUAACCCAGAGCUGAGUACUGGGUGUAUCGAUGUAAAUUGCGGGGAAGUCUUCGUAAGCCUCACCUACCGCGGCUCCUCGAAAGGGGUAGUGCAGCAGCUAGGGUAACGCCUAGUGGAUGGUAAUAACGGUGAAGGAAGUGGCAGUGCCCUCUGCCUAUACUCGGAGAUAAUCUGCAGCCAAACACCCUACCAGCAACGCUGAGCUGCGGGUGGAGGUUCAACGACUGUAAUCAUCGACCCGCAAGGGCAAGGGACAGUCUAAUCCUCUCUGAGAAGGGAUCCCUAGGAGGAAGGCCUACUCAGCUGGAGAACCUAGGGAACGCAAUAGGGUGUUGAGGAAAUGCUUCAUCCUGCGUGGUGCUAAUGGCCAGCAGCCGCGGUAAUUCCAGCUCCAACGGCGUACACUAAUAUUGUUGCUGUUAAAACGCUCGUAGUCCAAUGCAGAGCGCAGGGCCGCAGGGUGGAGCCCUGGUUUACCUUGGCUCGUUCCUUCUGGACCCCUGCGGAUCGACCCUGUGCUCGCCUCACGUGGAAACAACAUCACCGAUCUCAUCGGUGUCCCCUUGCUGACGUGCUCUUCAUUGAGCACCGACGCGGCUUCGCCCGCACCGCAGGCUUGGGAUAUCUGGCUUCGGCCUGUCCCUCCUCCAGGGGUGUCCAUGGCUCUUACCGUGAACAACUCAGAGUGUCCAAAGCGACCGAAGGCCUAGCGCAUUUCGGCUGAAUGAUCUUGCAUGGGAUAAGAAGGGAUCGACUGGUCGGGCUUUCGUCUGCCAAGUCUUUACGCCUGACAUAGGCAACCAGUGUGUUUCUGCAUCCACUGGCCGGGGACUGCUCUGCAGCCUCGAUGGAUGUGGUACGUGCUGAUCGGAACAGGUGGGAUUGUUCAGCGUGCUGUGUAUUGGCUAAGCUAGAGGUGAAAUUCUCAGACCGCGCUGGGACGAGCGGCAGCGAAGGCGCUCCGCCGGGGGCCUUCCGUCGAUCAAGAACGAGAGUGUGGGGAUCGAAGAUGAUCAGAUACCGUCGUAGUCCAUUACCGUAAACCAUGUCGGCUCGGCGUCGAAGGAGGCACGCUUUGCAUGUGCUUAUACUGACCGCUCCGGUUUCAUAUUACCCACCCCAUGCAUCGAGAAAUCCAAGCUUGUGGAUUCAGGGGGGAGUACUGUCGCAAGGCUGAAACUUAAAGGAAUUGACGGAAUGACACCACCAGGCGUGGAGUAUGCGGCUUAAUUUGACUCAACACGGGGAACGUUACCAGGUCAGGACGCUGUAAGGAUUGACAGACUGUAGGCUCUUUCUUGAUUCUUUGGACGGUGGUGCAUGGCCGUUCCUGGUUGGUGGAGUGAUUUGUCUGGUUGAUUCCGAUAACGAGCGAGAUCUCUGCCUCCCAAUAGCCCCAGGUCUCGCACCUAUACGUAGAGCAGAGUGACCUUCGGGUUGCAUUCCAAUCUGCUCGAGAGCGCCUGGUUCUUCUUAGUUGCUUCUCUGAGGAGCUGCGUACGCCUCAAAGUAUGCGCAUGCUAGAGCCAACAGCAGGUCUGUGAUGCUCCUAAAUGUUCUGGGCUGCACGCGCACUACACUGAUGCAGUGAACGAGCUUAUCGCCCUUCUUCGGAAGGGCGCCCUGCCCAGAAGUGGGUGGGAAACCUUAUCAAACUGCAUCGUGACGGGGAUAGAUGAUUGCAACUAUUCGCCUUGAACGAGGAAUGCCUAGUAGGCGCAAGUCAUCAGCUUGCACCGAUUAUGUCCCUGCCAUUUGUACACACCGCCCGUCGUUGCUACCGAUGGUAUCGAGCAAGAAAUGUCGAGAGGCCUACUGCGUUCGCCCUUGCCGGCCUACAACGUAGCCAAACUUCACUGAUUGCUCUAUACUAGAGGAAGCAAAAGUCGUAACAAGGUUGCUGUAGGUGAACCUGCAGAAGGAUC